This 143-nucleotide transfer RNA is filed under the name Pseudomonadota bacterium. RNAcentral's name for it is "Proteobacteria bacterium (freshwater sediment metagenome) tRNA-Gln". The record is from RNAcentral. Lineage: Bacteria; Pseudomonadati; Pseudomonadota.
CAGGGGUCGUCCAACGGUAGGACACCGGUCUCUGGAACCGGCUAUCGGGGUUCGAACGUACAGAAGCUAUGAUAGAGUGACGAGCGAAGCUCGAAACAAAUAGCAUUGAUCGUCAGAACGAAGUGACAAUCCCUGCCCCUGUC